UUCCGGUUGAUCCCGCCGGAGGCUACCGCUAUUGGAGUUCGAUUAAGCCAUGCGAGUCGCGAGAAAUUAGAUUCUCGGCGUACCGCUCAGUAACACGUGGGUAACCUGCCCUAUGCUGGAUAAUAACCUCGGGAAACUGAGAAUAAUGAUCCAUAGUUCACUACGCCUGGAACGGUGAGUGGAUGAAAGCUCCGGCGGCAUAGGAUGGGCCUGCGGCGUAUCAGGUUGUAGGGGGUGUAACGUACCCUCUAGCCCUCUACGCGUACGGGUGUUGGGAGACAUAGCCCGGAGAUGGAUUCUGAGACACGAAUCCAGACCCUACGGGGUGCAGCAGGCGCGAAAACUUGGCAAUGCGAGAAAUCGUGACCAGGGAACUCCAAGUGCAUCGGGUAAGACCGGUGCUUUUCUUGACUCUAAAUAGGUCUUGGAAUAAGGGGUGGGUAAGGACGGUGCCAGCCGCCGCGGUAAUACCGGCGCCUCAAGUGGUAGUCGCUUUUAUUGGGCCUAAAACGUCCGUAGCCGGUCUGAUACAUUCGUGGGUAAAUCAACCAGCUUAACUGGUUGAAUUCUGCGAGGACGGUCAGACUUGGGACCGGGAGAGGUGUGGGGUACGCUCAGGGUAGGGGUAAAAUCCUGUCAUCCUGAGCGGACCACCUGUUGCGAAGGCGCCACACUAGAACGGAUCCGACGGUCAGGGACGAAGCCUAGGGGCACGAACCGGAUUAGAUACCCGGGUAGUCCUAGGUGUAAACGCUGUGGACUUGAUGUUGGGGGUGCUCCGAGCUCUUUCAGUGUCGAAGCGAAGGUGAUAAGUCCACUGCCUGGGAAGUACGGUCGCAAGGCUGAAACUUAAAGGAAUUGGCGGGGGAGCACCGCAACCUGAGGAUUGUGCGGUUUAAUUGGAGUCAACGCCGGA
Molecule: ribosomal RNA, 916 nt
Filed under: uncultured marine archaeon
Lineage: Archaea
Description: bacterial SSU rRNA
Rfam family: Archaeal small subunit ribosomal RNA
Source: RNAcentral